RNAcentral lists this unclassified non-coding RNA (306 nucleotides) under plant metagenome. Its description in RNAcentral is "partial contains 5.8S ribosomal RNA, internal transcribed spacer 2, and large subunit ribosomal RNA". The stretch from base 1 to 105 matches the Rfam family "5.8S ribosomal RNA", at positions 50 to 154 of the family's 154-position model. The record is from RNAcentral.
GAAAUGCGAUAAGUAAUGUGAAUUGCAGAAUUCAGUGAAUCAUCGAAUCUUUGAACGCACAUUGCGCCCGCCAGUAUUCUGGCGGGCAUGCCUGUCCGAGCGUCAUUUCAACCAUCAAGCCCCCGGGCUUGUGUUGGGGACCUGCUGCUGCCCGCAGGCCCUGAAAACCAGUGGCGGGCUCGCUGUCACACCGAGCGUAGUAGCAAUCACCUCGCUCAGGGCGUGCUGCGGGUUCCGGCCGUUAAACAGCCUUACAAAACCCAAGGUUGACCUCGGAUCAGGUAGGAAGACCCGCUGAACUUAAGC